GCCGUCCAUUCAGUAUGGUGGAUAUGACUCUCGGCUUGUAGCCGAGUGGGCUCGAGUUCGAAUCCCGAGGAGGGCA
This 76-nucleotide transfer RNA is filed under the name Trichonephila inaurata madagascariensis. Its description in RNAcentral is "tRNA-Thr". The record is from RNAcentral. Lineage: Eukaryota; Metazoa; Arthropoda; Arachnida; Araneae; Nephilidae.